GGGCCCGUAGCGUAGUCAGGAUAGCGCAGCCGGCUUCGGACCGGCAGGUCGGGGGUUCAAAUCCCUCCGGGCUCA
This 75-nucleotide transfer RNA is filed under the name archaeon. RNAcentral's name for it is "tRNA-Arg". It matches the Rfam family "tRNA". Rfam says of the family: Transfer RNA (tRNA) molecules are approximately 80 nucleotides in length. Their secondary structure includes four short double-helical elements and three loops (D, anti-codon, and T loops). The record is from RNAcentral.